UACGGAGGGUGCAAGCGUUGUUCGGAAUUACUGGGCGUAAAGCGCGCGUAGGUGGCUUUUUAAGUCAGAUGUGAAAGUCCACGGCUCAACCGUGGAAGUGCAUUUGAAACUGGAAAGCUUGAGUAUUGGAGGGGGUAGUGGAAUUCCCGGUGUAGAGGUGAAAUUCGUAGAUAUCGGGAGGAAUACCAGUGGCGAAGGCGACUACCUGGCCAAAUACUGACACUGAGGUGCGAAAGCGUGGGGAGCAAACAGG
This 253-nucleotide ribosomal RNA is filed under the name uncultured prokaryote. RNAcentral describes it as "partial 16S ribosomal RNA". It matches the Rfam family "Bacterial small subunit ribosomal RNA", at positions 524 to 776 of the family's 1533-position model. The record is from RNAcentral.